Molecule: ribosomal RNA, 374 nt
Filed under: uncultured bacterium
Lineage: Bacteria
Description: bacterial SSU rRNA
Rfam family: Bacterial small subunit ribosomal RNA
Source: RNAcentral
UACGAAGGGAGCUAGCGUUGUUCGGAAUGACUGGGCGUAAAGGGCGCGUAGGUGGUGUUGCAAGUCUUGUGUGAAAGCCCCGGGCUUAACCUGGGAACUGCACAGGAGACUGCAACGCUAGAGUACAGAAGGGGAAAGUGGAAUUGCGCGUGGAGAGGUGAAAUUCGUAGAGAUGCGCAAGAACACCAAUGGCGAAGGCAUCUUUCUGGUCUGUAACUGACACUGAGGCGCGAAAGCGUGGGGAGCAAACAGGAUUAGAUACCCUGGUAGUCCACGCUGUAAACGAUGAGUGCUCGAUGUAGGCGGUUUUGACCGUCUGUGUCUAAGCUAACGCGAUAAGCACUCCGCCUGGGAAGUACGGUCGCAAGAUUAAA